This 1086-nucleotide long non-coding RNA is filed under the name Felis catus (domestic cat). RNAcentral's name for it is "lncRNA (ENSFCAG00000053212.1)". Lineage: Eukaryota; Metazoa; Chordata; Mammalia; Carnivora; Felidae. The record is from RNAcentral.
GUUGUUACGUGGCUGCUCCAGAGAGGACUUAAGACCUGCUAUCUUUUCCAUCUUUUCCCUCUGCCUUCCGCAGCACUCGCUUCAGCCUCAAGCGCCAUACAGUGCGGCUGUGAUGGGGGCAGUUCCCAACCUCACGCCCUCGCACCCCGCCACCCAGGAGAUCAGAGGGAGUUUCUGUAACACUAGGAUCCCUGAACCAACCAGUGUGGCCAGGAGGAUGGAACCCACUGGGUGAGUCUCCCUGAGCAGUCUGUCACAGGAUCAAGACACAAUGACAGACCGGUGAGAACCUGGGGUCGGUGGCGGGGGGGGUGGGGGGGGUGGGGGGGGGGGGAGGAGGGCAAGAAACCGACCGCAUUUAUUCGAUCCACCUGCCAACGGCGGGAGCCUUUUUUUGCACCAGGGCGCGUCAUUGGUCACGCAUCAACCAAUGGCCUGAUUGGGCUUGAGUCAGGUGGUAACCCCUGAUCCAAUCAGCGGAGGCUGGCCGAGGGCAGGGCCACGCCCCCACACGCGUGGCUGGCGGAGGGGAGCGGGGAGAACCGUGCUAAAGCAGGUGCUGCGGCACGAACUUCUCACCGGGGUGACCCCUGGGUGUGGGCUUGGCACGCGGUGAUCGCCACGUCGGCCGCCGGCCACUGCGGGUGCGCAGGCGGUGGAAGAGGAGGCUGAGAGUGAGGGAGGCCGGGGCCAGCUCCUCGUCCUCCUGGUGUCUGACGCGGGUCACCACUGUCUUCCCAACACCCUGGACCCUCCUGCCAGCCCUCCUUGUACCAGAUGCCCUGUUGGGGCUCCAUUCCCCUCCUGGCCCCUGCGGUGGGGCUGCUUGAGAGCAAGUAACAGCCGUGCAUCGUGGGGUCUCCGCACAUGUAGGGACUCCAGCUGAAAGGCCGGUUGCUCUAAACUGGCUGGGGGUUCCUUUAUACAUUUCCCAGACUAGUACAUCCAAGUCAUCCAGAAUCCCAGUCUGCUUUGGCUAGCAUGGGGAUGAAGUGGCCCUCGCCCCCAGCAGAGGCUGAACUGGCCCCAGCGCUGCCCGUAGGUCCCAGACCUCUGGCCCACGCCUACCUCUCGCCCACACCCGCC